Molecule: ribosomal RNA, 253 nt
Filed under: uncultured bacterium
Lineage: Bacteria
Description: partial 16S ribosomal RNA
Rfam family: Bacterial small subunit ribosomal RNA
Source: RNAcentral
UACGGAGGGUGCGAGCGUUGUCCGGAAUCACUGGGCGUAAAGCGCACGUAGGCGGAUCUUUAAGUCAGGGGUGAAAUCCCGAGGCUCAACCUCGGAACUGCCUUUGAUACUGGGGAUCUCGAGUCCGGGAGAGGUGAGUGGAAUUGCGAGUGUAGAGGUGAAAUUCGUAGAUAUUCGCAAGAACACCAGUGGCGAAGGCGGCUCACUGGCCCGGAACUGACGCUGAGAUGCGAAAGCGUGGGGAGCAAACAGG